GGGACUGCAAGGUUUCUACAUAUAGUAUACAAUAUACAUUGUCAUUAAUAUAACUUUAUUACUAUUAGUAAAUGCUAAAAAUAAUAUAUUAACUUUAUCUAGAAGAUUAAUUUAUGCUUAAACUUUUUGAAAUAAAAGAUUAAGCAGUUACAGAUUGUUACUAGAACUCAAAUAAUAUAAGCCAUAUAGUUAUUUGAUAUAUUGAAUUUGGUUGCUCUUAAAUUAGUCUUAAUCAAAGAAUUAAUUUUAAGAUAAGUAAGAAAUCAUUACAACAUCAAAUCGUAUUUUUUAGAUUACAUCUAUAAUAUAUUACUUAUAAUAUAUUAUUUCUAAUGUAAUUAGACGAUAUAUAGUAUAUUAUUAUGGACGUGGGUUCAAUUCCCACCAGUUCCACCA
RNAcentral lists this non-coding RNA (396 nucleotides) under Gracilaria tenuistipitata var. liui. Lineage: Eukaryota; Rhodophyta; Florideophyceae; Gracilariales; Gracilariaceae. The record is from RNAcentral.